Molecule: ribosomal RNA, 253 nt
Filed under: uncultured bacterium
Lineage: Bacteria
Description: partial 16S ribosomal RNA
Rfam family: Bacterial small subunit ribosomal RNA
Source: RNAcentral
UACGAAGGGAGCUAGCGUUGUUCGGAAUCACUGGGCGUAAAGCGCACGUAGGCGGAUGUGUCAGUCAGGGGUGAAAUCCCGGAGCUCAACUUCGGAACUGCCUUUGAUACAGCACGUCUUGAGUCCGGAAGAGGUGGGUGGAAUUCCUAGUGUAGAGGUGAAAUUCGUAGAUAUUAGGAAGAACACCGGUGGCGAAGGCGGCCCACUGGUCCGGUACUGACGCUGAGGUGCGAAAGCCAGGGGAGCAAACGGG